CGUGUAGGCGGGUCUUUAAGUCAGGGGUGAAAUGCCAAGGCUCAACCUUGGAACUGCCUUUGAUACUGGGGAUCUUGAGUCCGGGAGAGGUGAGUGGAACUGCGAGUGUAGAGGUGAAAUUCGUAGAUAUUCGCAAGAACACCAGUGGCGAAGGCGGCUCACUGGCCCGGAACUGACGCUGAGACGCGAAAGCGUGGGGAGCAAACAGGAUUAGAUACCCUGGUAGUCCACGCUGUAAACGAUGGAUGCUAGCCGUUGGGGAGCUUGCUCUUCAGUGGCGCAGCCAACGCUUUAAGCACUCCCGCCUGGGGAGUACGGUCGCAAGAUUAAA
This 331-nucleotide ribosomal RNA is filed under the name uncultured bacterium. Its description in RNAcentral is "bacterial SSU rRNA". It matches the Rfam family "Bacterial small subunit ribosomal RNA", at positions 568 to 898 of the family's 1533-position model. The record is from RNAcentral.